UGCGCAGGUGGGGAUGUAAGUCAGUGGUGAAAUGUUGCCGCUCAACGGUAAAAUUGCCAUUGAUACCGCAUCUCUUGAGUAUGGUUGAGGUAGGCGGAAUGUGUUGUGUAGCGGUGAAAUGCAUAGAUAUGACACAGAACACCGAUUGCGAAGGCAGCUUACUAAGCCAUUACUGACGCUGAGGCACGAAAGCGUGGGGAGCGAACAGGAUUAGAUACCCUGGUAGUCC
Molecule: ribosomal RNA, 229 nt
Filed under: uncultured bacterium
Lineage: Bacteria
Description: partial 16S ribosomal RNA
Rfam family: Bacterial small subunit ribosomal RNA
Source: RNAcentral